This 678-nucleotide ribosomal RNA is filed under the name uncultured bacterium. RNAcentral describes it as "bacterial SSU rRNA". It matches the Rfam family "Bacterial small subunit ribosomal RNA", at positions 153 to 847 of the family's 1533-position model. The record is from RNAcentral.
GAAACGACUGCUAAUACCGCAUAAGCCCACGGGUCGGCAUCGACCAGAGGGAAAAGGAGCAAUCCGCUUUGAGAUGGCCUCGCGUCCGAUUAGCCAGUUGGUGAGGUAACGGCCCACCAAGGCAACGAUCGGUAGCCGGACUGAGAGGUUGAACGGCCACAUUGGGACUGAGACACGGCCCAGACUCCUACGGGAGGCAGCAGUGGGGAAUAUUGCACAAUGGGGGAAACCCUGAUGCAGCGACGCCGCGUGGAGGAAGAAGGUCUUCGGAUUGUAAACUCCUGUUGUUGGGGAAGAUAAUGACGGUACCCAACAAGGAAGUGACGGCUAACUACGUGCCAGCAGCCGCGGUAAAACGUAGGUCACAAGCGUUGUCCGGAAUUACUGGGUGUAAAGGGAGCGCAGGCGGGAAGACAAGUUGGAAGUGAAAUCUAUGGGCUCAACCCAUAAACUGCUUUCAAAACUGUUUUUCUUGAGUAGUGCAGAGGUAGGCGGAAUUCCCGGUGUAGCGGUGGAAUGCGUAGAUAUCAGGAGGAACACCAGUGGCGAAGGCGGCCUACUGGGCACCAACUGACGCUGAGGCUCGAAAGUGUGGGUAGCAAACAGGAUUAGAUACCCUGGUAGUCCACACCGUAAACGAUGAUUACUAGGUGUUGGAGGAUUGACCCCUUCAGUGCC